RNAcentral lists this long non-coding RNA (1873 nucleotides) under Phocoena sinus (vaquita). RNAcentral's name for it is "lncRNA (ENSPSNG00000004820.1)". The record is from RNAcentral. Lineage: Eukaryota; Metazoa; Chordata; Mammalia; Artiodactyla; Phocoenidae.
ACUAGCCCAGCACAUCCCACCCCCGGCUGCUCCAGGGAGGCAGGACUUGGCCACCAGGGCUCAGCAGACUUUUCGGAAUGCAGGGUGAUUUUCUGUCUCUUCCCAGGGAAAAAAUUAAACCCUUUACAGGCUCUUGUACAAGUUAUGCAAAUUUAGCAAGAGAGAAUCUAUCUUCUGUAUUCAGCCUUAAGGACUCAGUGUCCCCAGGCUGUGAGGAGAGUUCUGGGGUCUGCCGGCGGUGAGCAAUCCUGGCUGUGUGAGGGUCUGAGUGGUCCAGCUGCCCCCAUGCUGCUCUCAGGGACCAGCUGCUGGCCCUGCAUCCAGGGCUCUGCAUGGAAGUCAGCGCUGGGCAGUGUGGUUUCUCACCCGAGGGAGGUGGGCCCCCCGAGGUCCUGCAGUCCUGCCCCAGAGCUGCGGUGAGCAGGCCCAAGCACAGGCCUCACAGGGGGAAGGAGCCCUGCCUGGGGAUCCCGGGACCCUGGGGCCUACUGGGAAAGGGAGAGCUCGGGGCCCUGCUUAGGAGACAAGGCUCUUCUGCAAUAGUUUCUCGUUGCUUCAAUACCAAAGAACUGUUUGCUUCGCCCCCAGCCAGGCCCACCCCGUGCUCAGAGCAGCCCCUAUUGCCCAGGCCCUGCAGGCUCAGUGGGCAGGGCCGCCCUGGCCUAUCUCUGGGGGCUCCUUUCUCUCCUGGCCCUCGAGGUGGGGAGCUGAGAAGGGGAGUGAAGGAGCUAUGGGGUACAGCUCGAGCCUCAGCCAGUUCCUAGUGGACGAAGCAGCCCUCCCAGGCUGGCAGGUCCCCUCUUCCGCACCCAGUGCAUGGGGCUGGCGGGGCUCCCAUCCUACAAGGCCGACUCAGCCUGGCUUGCCCUCCACAAAGAAAGACCCCACCCCAGCCCCAGCCCAUCCUUGUGGGCAUCUGACCCAGGCACACCCUGGUGUUGUCCCACUGCCCUCAGGGGUUGCCCCUGCCUGCCUGUGGGCGCAGAGGAUGACAUUCACAUCAACACGGGCCAGGUCUCCUGUGCACGGAUGGCGCCCUGUCACCCUGUUGGGUCUCUUGGGGAUGGACACCCUCUCUGUCGAUUCCAAAGUGACCAUAUUGUGAGCGGGGCCAGGACAGGGGUGGGUUUGCCUGGUCCGUGUGUGUCUGGGUGCCUGUGUGAGAUUGAGGAAGCAGAGGGGCGGGCCCCCGGCAGCUCUCCUGGGUGGGGCAGGUGAAGGUGUGUGGCUGCCACAGAGGGCCAGGCAGGAGAAGGGCAAAGCCAGGGCUGGGCUAGCAGACCUGUUGGGGGGUGGGUGGGUACCGGAGGGGCUGGGCUCUGCGGCACCAGGAUCAGAGUUCCAGCUGCUGGAACACAGGUGGGGGCACAUGGCCCUCGAGUUCCAAAUGCCCAAGUGAGUGCGUGGGAGUGGGUUGGCACCCAGGCAAGGCCCUCCCUGUAGGGGGGUGGGUGGGUCUGGGGGGGCCCAAGAAGACUGCUAAUCCACCAACAUGGCCCCGCCCUGUGACAGUCGUCUCAGCAGCUGAGGCUUACAGCCAGGUGGAGCCAGGCACUUCUGGGACUUUGCAGUGCGCUCUUGGCCAUCGCUGGAGGCUGGCGCCAUAAACCUCCUUGUGUCAUCUCACUGGGAGUCACUGGUUUACUGGAGGAUGUACCAGUCCUGUCUUAAGAAAGGAGAAGACACCAGCAGUCUGUCUCCAGGAUCCCGGUCCACCUUGGCGUCCUGAGCUGGUGAGGGUUGGGGGAGGCCUGAGGGCACAGGUCGAGCCAGCCCCCCUUCCCUUCUCUCAACCCCACACUUCCCUUUAAGCACUACAUCUCUCAGUAUGCCCAAAGUGAGACAUUUACAAAAAUAAUAAAAAUAAUUUUUU